Molecule: ribosomal RNA, 1352 nt
Filed under: uncultured bacterium
Lineage: Bacteria
Description: bacterial SSU rRNA
Rfam family: Bacterial small subunit ribosomal RNA
Source: RNAcentral
AUUGAACUUUGGCGGCAUGCCUCACACAUGCAAGUCGAACGGCAGCACGGAGCUUGCUCUGGUGGCGAGUGGCGAACGGGUGAGUAAUAUAUCGGAACGUACCCUAGAGUGGGGGAUAACGUAGCGAAAGUUACGCUAAUACCGCAUACGAUCUAAGGAUGAAAGUGGGGGAUCGCAAGACCUCAUGCUCGUGGAGCGGCCGAUAUCUGAUUAGCUAGUUGGUAGGGUAAAAGCCUACCAAGGCAUCGAUCAGUAGCUGGUCUGAGAGGACGACCAGCCACACUGGAACUGAGACACGGUCCAGACUCCUACAGGAGGCAGCAGUGGGGAAUUUUGGACAAUGGGCGAAAGCCUGAUCCAGCAAUGCCGCGUGAGUGAAGAAGGCCUUCGGGUUGUAAAGCUCUUUUGUCAGGGAAGAAACGGUGAGAGCUAAUAUCUCUUGCUAAUGACGGUACCUGAAGAAUAAGCACCGGCUAACUACGUGCCAGCAGCCGCGGUAAUACGUAGGGUGCAAGCGUUAAUCGGAAUUACUGGGCGUAAAGCGUGCGCAGGCGGUUUUGUAAGUCUGAUGUGAAAUCCCCGGGCUCAACCUGGGAAUUGCAUUGGAGACUGCAAGGCUAGAAUCUGGCAGAGGGGGGUAGAAUUCCACGUGUAGCAGUGAAAUGCGUAGAUAUGUGGAGGAACACCGAUGGCGAAGGCAGCCCCCUGGGUCAAGAUUGACGCUCAUGCACGAAAGCGUGGGGAGCAAACAGGAUUAGAUACCCUGGUAGUCCACGCCCUAAACGAUGUCUACUAGUUGUCGGGUCUUAAUUGACUUGGUAACGCAGCUAACGCGUGAAGUAGACCGCCUGGGGAGUACGGUCGCAAGAUUAAAACUCAAAGGAAUUGACGGGGACCCGCACAAGCGGUGGAUGAUGUGGAUUAAUUCGAUGCAACGCGAAAAACCUUACCUACCCUUGACAUGGCUGGAAUCCCCGAGAGAUCAGGGAGUGCUCGAAAGAGAACCAGUACACAGGUGCUGCAUGGCUGUCGUCAGCUCGUGUCGUGAGAUGUUGGGUUAAGUCCCGCAACGAGCGCAACCCUUGUCAUUAGUUGCUACGAAAGGGCACUCUAAUGAGACUGCCGGUGACAAACCGGAGGAAGGUGGGGAUGACGUCAAGUCCUCAUGGCCCUUAUGGGUAGGGCUUCACACGUCAUACAAUGGUACAUACAGAGCGCCGCCAACCCGCGAGGGGGAGCUAAUCGCAGAAAGUGUAUCGUAGUCCGGAUUGUAGUCUGCAACUCGACUGCAUGAAGUUGGAAUCGCUAGUAAUCGCGGAUCAGCAUGUCGCGGUGAAUACGUUCCCGGGUCU